UAUUGGGCAAUGGGCGAAAGCCUGAUCCAGCAAUGCCGCGUGAGUGAUGAAGGCCUUAGGGUUGUAAAGCUCUUUUACCCGGGAUGAUAAUGACAGUACUGGGAGAAUAAGCUCCGGCUAACUCCGUGCCAGCAGCCGCGGUAAUACGGAGGGAGCUAGCGUUGUUCGGAAUUACUGGGCGUAAAGCGCACGUAGGCGGCUUUGUAAGUUAGAGGUGAAAGCCUGGAGCUCAACUCCAGAAUUGCCUUUGAUACUGCAUCGCUUGAAUCCAGGAGAGGUGAGUGGAAUUCCGAGUGUAGAGGUGAAAUUCGUAGAUAUUCGGAAGAACACCAGUGGCGAAGGCGGCUCACUGGACUGGUAUUGACGCUGAGGUGCGAAA
Molecule: ribosomal RNA, 379 nt
Filed under: uncultured bacterium
Lineage: Bacteria
Description: bacterial SSU rRNA
Rfam family: Bacterial small subunit ribosomal RNA
Source: RNAcentral